RNAcentral lists this unclassified non-coding RNA (1547 nucleotides) under Hevea brasiliensis (rubber tree). The record is from RNAcentral. Lineage: Eukaryota; Viridiplantae; Streptophyta; Magnoliopsida; Malpighiales; Euphorbiaceae.
GAAGCAAACACCCUCUGAACACCACCGUGCCACCACCACCUCCUCCUAGCAUAGGAUGUCUACGGAGAACCUCAACACCUCAAUCGAAAAUGACCAGCUUAUCCUUUAUCAAGUAUCACUGAGAGGGGAUGUCCCUGCCUUUGAUGCAUUGCUUCAACAAGAUGAACUCAUUCUUGAUAGGGUCGUCGUUACUUCCUUCCAUGAAACUCCAUUACACAUUGCAGCCAUGCGAGGUCACCUUCACUUCGCUCGAGCACUCCUCAGUCGAAAGCCCAAACUAGCCGACGAGUUAGAUUCUCUUUGUCGCUUGCCUCUUCACUUGGCUUCUGCAGAGGGCUACACUGAUAUUGUCAAAGAGUUGAUAACUGCGAAUCCUGAUGCUUGCUGGGCACGUGAUCAAGAUGGAAGGAUCCCACUUCACUUGGCAGCCAUGAAAGGAAGAGUUGACAUUAUAAAGGAAUUGGUCAGCAUUUGCCCUGAGUCAAUUGGAGAGAAGCUGGAUUAUGGAGAGACAAUCUUGCACUUCUGCGUUAAAUAUAAUCGGUUGGAGGCUCUGAAAUUAUUGGCGGAAACAGUAAGAGAUGAUGAAUUUGUCAAUGCCACGGAUGACAAUGGCAACACAAUUUUGCACCUUGCUGCGAUCCUCAAACAAGUACAGAUUACAAAAUACUUGCUUUUGGAGACGACCAUCAAGGAAAACGUAACUGCCUUGAACAGGAAUGGAUUUACAGCAUUGGAUGCUUUAGAGCACUGUCCAAGGGAUUCAAAAGGCCUGGAAGUAAAGAUCAUUCUGCUUGAAGCUGAAGCAGGUGUUCAGAGGAACACAGGGCGCAGUGUUAGUGAAUUCCCAUCAUCAACAGCACAACGAAAUGGAGGCCUAGUCGCCAGAAAGUACAAAUUCUGGAAUAACUACUUCAAGAAGGUUGGCAAGCGGUUAGAAGAGGCACGAGGCAAUAUUCUUGUGGCAGCUACUGUAACAGCAUCUAUGGCUUUCCAAGCUGGGAUAAACCCACCUCCAUUUGAUGAAUACAAAAAUUUAGCUCCUGCUCCGCAACCAAGCAAUGAUAUUACUACUCCUAAGUUUGCUAGUCUUGAUGAUCUGCUAGAGCAGUCAGAAAUAUCUUUCUGGUAUUGCAACACCGUUUCUUUGAUGCUUUCCCUUAUUAUCAUUCUGCUGAUGUUUAGCGGAAUUCCGUUAGGAAAUAAGUUUUUAAGAGUUUUCCUAGUAAUUGCCAUGUGCGUCACAGUCCUAUACAUAUCAGGAGCAUAUUAUACGGCCGCGUUAAGCUUCAGAGCGAGAGAUCAUUGGUGGAGUAGGGCAGGGGUAUCCAUGAUGGUAAUUGCCAUUGUGAUUCCUCUUUUAUUUUACUCAAUUAUAUUGUUACAUUUGGCUUCCUUCUUGAUCUGGCUGGUUCGGAAGAUCUGGAAAUGUAUCUCUAAAUUAAUAUUGUGCUUCUGUUAAUCAAAUUCCUGUCAGCUUUGAAUAAUAUUAUCUCAAAAGUGCAUGUAUAAUUCGCUUGCAAUAAAUUUUUAAGUUUUCUCAAAAA